CCCUUAGAUGUUCUGGGCCGCACGCGUGCUACACUGAGUGGAUCAGCGGGUCAGGUUGCGCGAAAGUGUUUCCUAAUCUUUAAAUCCGCUCGUGAUGGGGAUUGACGGUUGCAAUUUUCUGUCAUGAACGAGGAAUACCUUGUAAGCGCGGGUCAUCAUCCCGCGCUGAAUACGUCCCUGCCCUUUGUACACACCGCCCGUCGCUCCUACCGAUUGAAUGACUCGGUGAAAAAUUGGGACCGUGAGUCUGUUUGCUUCAUUGCGAGUGGAUUGAUGGGAACUUUUUUAAACCUCGCCAUUUAGAGGAAGGUGAAGUCGUAACA
RNAcentral lists this ribosomal RNA (323 nucleotides) under uncultured eukaryote. RNAcentral's name for it is "partial 18S ribosomal RNA". It matches the Rfam family "Eukaryotic small subunit ribosomal RNA", at positions 1470 to 1796 of the family's 1831-position model. The record is from RNAcentral.